GCCGAUGUAGCUCAGGGGUAGAGCAACUGAUUCGUAAUCAGUAGGUCGUCGGUUCGAAUCCGACUCUCGGCUCCA
This 75-nucleotide transfer RNA is filed under the name Deinococcus arboris. RNAcentral's name for it is "Deinococcus sp. HMF7620 tRNA-Thr". It matches the Rfam family "tRNA". From Rfam's summary of the family: Transfer RNA (tRNA) molecules are approximately 80 nucleotides in length. Their secondary structure includes four short double-helical elements and three loops (D, anti-codon, and T loops). The record is from RNAcentral. Lineage: Bacteria; Thermotogati; Deinococcota; Deinococci; Deinococcales; Deinococcaceae. RNAcentral also lists the same sequence under 1 other name.